RNAcentral lists this ribosomal RNA (490 nucleotides) under uncultured bacterium. RNAcentral's name for it is "partial 16S ribosomal RNA". It matches the Rfam family "Bacterial small subunit ribosomal RNA", at positions 30 to 507 of the family's 1533-position model. The record is from RNAcentral.
AUUGAACGCUGGCGGCAGGCCUAACACAUGCAAGUCGAACGGUAACAGGAAGAAGCUUGCUUCUUUGCUGACGAGUGGCGGACGGGUGAGUAAUGUCUGGGAAACUGCCUGAUGGAGGGGGAUAACUACUGGAAACGGUAGCUAAUAACGCAUAACGUCGCAAGACCAAAGAGGGGGAACUUCGGGCCUCUUGCCAUCGGAUGUGCCCAGAUGGGAUUAGCUAGUAGGUGGGGUAACGGCUCACCUAGGCGACGAUCCCUAGCUGGUCUGAGAGGAUGACCAGCCACACUGGAACUGAGACACGGUCCAGACUCCUACGGGAGGCAGCAGUGGAGAAUAUUGCACAAUGGGCGCGAGCCUGAUGCAGCCAUGCCGCGUGGAUGAAGAAGGCCUUCGGGUUGUAAAGUACUUUCAGCGGGGAGGAAGGGAGUAAAGUUAAUACCUUUGCUCAUUGACGUUACCCGCAGAAGAAGCACCGGCUAACUCCGUG